GUGGCUUCUCUUCAGGAGCUGGAAGAUCUUGUUUAUAAAUCCCAUAAUUCAGAGCCACAGCUGUCAUGUCAUUCAUUAAUCUAAGACAGUUUAAUCCAACAAUCUGAGCUGCAUCCAGAACAGACCUCCUUUCAGCAUCAGUGAAAAACGAUGGAACAGAAAUAACACAGUCUGUUACUGGCUUUUUCAGGUUACUCUCUGCAGUCUCCUUUAACUUUGUCAACAACAUCGCUGAAAUCUGUUCCACACUGAAGAUGUGCUCCUCAUCCAUGUACAUGACCUUCACUCCAAC
Molecule: long non-coding RNA, 292 nt
Filed under: Gallus gallus (chicken)
Lineage: Eukaryota; Metazoa; Chordata; Aves; Galliformes; Phasianidae
Source: RNAcentral